GGCUUGAUAGCUCAGUUGGUAGAGCACUGAACCGGUAUCGCAGAGGUCAUGGGUUCCGGCGAAUCCCGUUCAAGCCC
This 77-nucleotide transfer RNA is filed under the name Desmophyllum pertusum. Its description in RNAcentral is "Lophelia pertusa tRNA". It matches the Rfam family "tRNA". From Rfam's summary of the family: Transfer RNA (tRNA) molecules are approximately 80 nucleotides in length. Their secondary structure includes four short double-helical elements and three loops (D, anti-codon, and T loops). Further hydrogen bonds mediate the characteristic L-shaped molecular structure. tRNAs have two regions of fundamental functional importance: the anti-codon, which is responsible for specific mRNA codon recognition, and the 3' end, to which the tRNAs corresponding amino acid is attached (by aminoacyl-tRNA synthetases). tRNAs cope with the degeneracy of the genetic code in two manners: having more than one tRNA (with a specific anti-codon) for a particular amino acid; and 'wobble' base-pairing, i.e. permitting non-standard base-pairing at the 3rd anti-codon position. The record is from Rfam by way of RNAcentral. Lineage: Eukaryota; Metazoa; Cnidaria; Anthozoa; Scleractinia; Caryophylliidae.